AUUCAUAAAAACCUUAUUAGAUUUAUAUGAACUGAUACAGAGUAAAGUGAGCAGAACUAGAACAAUGUAUACAAUGAUUAGAACAUGGUAAUGGCAAACCACUCUGAGAGACUUCGGUACUGAUGGAUUUAAUAACCAAUCAUGACUUUAGAAGAUAAAUAAUGAAUCAUGUUUCCCACCUCUUGACAGAGAGGCGAUGGACUAGAGGCACGGAAUGAGACACACCUUUUCAGCCAACGUCACAGAAGAAAGCAGAAGGAAGUUCAGAGGACGGCACAGGCAAGCAGGACAGUUUCAGAACUGCUGUACUGAAUCUGUUACAACCUCCUAUAAAAAGAUUUUUUAUGGAAUCCAGAGAGACAACUCUGAAAGGGCAAAGACUUUGGGCCCUCUCCCUCCAAAGAUGACAUGUAGACCCAUGAAAAUGAGACUUGUGUUUGUUCUUUUGUUUUAGGUGAAGGAAUUAAGAGCCUUCCACCUUGUAAGUUUGACAGGUCGAAAGAAUGAGAUGUCAAAGAGUCUGGGCAUCUGAGCAUCCAAUUGUCUAGGACUUGGGGAGUCUAGGAGUUGAGUCCAUUUGGGGUUUUGCCACCAGCCACAGUAAUGAUGCCCUGGGCAUGCAGGAGCAGCUUUAGAACCUAGCCCAGCAGUAACUAACAUGAGGUCUUAUCCAGCCACAAUGUCACAUUUGUAUGGAAACUUGAAAGGACAACUUCUAUGUCCAAACUAUGCUAAGCCUGAAUCUACUCUCUCCAGAGACCGAGGUGGUAUAGGGUAUCUCAGUCUGCUUCAGAGGUCUUGGGGAGAAAUGUUUGUACUUUUGUUCAUGCAGUAUUUUCAAAGUGAAUAAGCCUGUCUAAAAUUUAAUUGAUGUUAAGUGAUUAAAGGGAGCCAGGACUCCAGUUUCUGGUGGUUAAGAGUGGGGAAUGCUGGAGUAGCUAGGUGGCGCA
Molecule: long non-coding RNA, 950 nt
Organism: Phascolarctos cinereus (koala)
Lineage: Eukaryota; Metazoa; Chordata; Mammalia; Diprotodontia; Phascolarctidae
Source: RefSeq, a predicted model, not a curated record